RNAcentral lists this long non-coding RNA (1777 nucleotides) under Acyrthosiphon pisum (pea aphid). RNAcentral's name for it is "uncharacterized LOC115033902". The record is from RNAcentral. Lineage: Eukaryota; Metazoa; Arthropoda; Insecta; Hemiptera; Aphididae.
CGAGACUAACAUUGUGACACGAGAAUUUUAUAUAUUAGAAUAUAUACAAUAAAACAUUAACAUUAAUAUGUACUUAUAUUAUUUUAAGUCUUAUUGAAUCAUAAUAUGGUAUCUAGUGCUGGGACCGUAAAAUACAUGAAAAGUCAUAUUGCUAUUUAAUAUUUUAUUGUACAUUUUUGGCUAUUAUUUAAGUUUUAUAUCUAUUGAGAUUUGAGUUAUAAUACAUAUUUAACGGUUAAUAGCACGGCUAAAAUCACAAAUUUGAAGUUAUAAUCGCGUUUAUUUUUUAUUUGCCACAGACAGUGGCAGAUUGUUCACCGGGAGCCCGGGAAGUUUCCCGGUGGGCCGGAGCCCAGUCACGACUAUACGGGCCUAUCAUCCUAAAAAUGAUUUUUAUAAUUUAUUUUAUACUUAAAUUUGUUCUUUUUUAUUUUUAAAAAUAUUAAUUUUUGAUAAAAAUAUUAUUUGCAUUAUUAUCUAUGAGUAAACACUAAUAAGAUAACUCUAGUUCAUUUCACGGUUAUUUAUUUAUUCAUGGUAUUAUCUUGGUAGCUUUAUAAUACUGAAAUACAACCGGCCAAAGCAAAGCAAUGCAGACCAAUCUCGGAACUAUUUUCAAUCACACUAAUUCAUAAAGUGAAUACCUUUAGUUAAAGAAGACAGAAGUAAUAUUGUAAUAAUUUAUAAUAUUAUGUUUUAUUUUUUCGUUCAAUAAAAAAUGCUAAACCAUUGCAUAUAUAUUAAACUAGGUACCAACCCAGGCUACCUAAUAAUUUCUAAAUCAAAAUAAGUUCUGAAUUAUUUUAACUAUUAUAGAGUGAUGAAUGUGAUACUACGUUUUAUAAUGCUGAUGAUAAUGAUGACAAAAAUAUUGCUAUGGUUGAAGAUGUUGAAAAAAAUAAUUGUUUAGAUAUUUCUUUUGAAAAUUAUUUUCAAAAACCUAUGCCAUCUGGUAUCAAUGAUUAUUAUUUUUUAAUUUUACUACAUUUCCACUAAAUUGUUUGCAUUAAUAGUGUUUUGGGCCGGUGAAAUGAAAUUCUCCCGGGCCGGUUAAAAUUCAGAAUCCGCUACUGGCCACAGACACUACUGCAGUUAGCAGAGUAAUUCAAAUAUUGAAGUAUAUGAUAAUAUUAUGCAACUUACGUCUGUAAAAAAAUCACCAGUCCAUUUAGCUGUGAAUAAUGUUAUCAUCAGCGGCAACAAGAACUGGACAUUUCCUGUGGCUUCAAUAAAAACAACAGUCAGACUUAUAGUAGCUCUGACGAUUCCUCCUAAUUGUGCUGCAGCGCCGAGUAAUGCGUAUUUUCCUGGAUCGUCUCCAAUCUAAAAUUAAAAAAAAAAAUUAUAAUAAAACGGUUUAUCAAUAAAAUAAAACUCGAAUGGUACGUUUUAGAUUUCUAAUUAUAGGCUUAAUUAUUGUUCGUAGUUAAUUAUAUAGUUACGAUUGUUUGUAUUAAGAUAUUUAGAUAAGAUUGUUGAUUUUAAGUAAUUACUUCUGUAUACAAGCAAUUAAUAUAUAGAUUCAAAAUAUAAGGUUACCAAAUUUUUGUUUUUAAUUGUACUUGGAAUUAAGGUUUAUUUAUUUGUAUUAAAAUACGUUUAAAAACCAGGAAUUUAUCACCAUCGCAGGGUGAGCUUUCUUAACUUGUUUAUUUAAUACAACUAUAUUAUUUUUAAGAAAAACGUAGGUAAUAACUAUUGUUAGUUACCUACUAUAUGUAUUUAACGAAACACUUUCGAGAUAUUAUGCUUUAUAUAAAAUGUGAAUUUUCUCAUC